This 322-nucleotide ribosomal RNA is filed under the name uncultured Spongomonas. RNAcentral's name for it is "SSU rRNA". The stretch from base 104 to 322 matches the Rfam family "Eukaryotic small subunit ribosomal RNA", at positions 733 to 955 of the family's 1831-position model. The record is from RNAcentral. Lineage: Eukaryota; Cercozoa; Imbricatea; Spongomonadida.
GAUUUCUGGAUGGCUGUGCUAGCCCGCUGGCUUUCGGGUCGGUGAGCGCCGGUACGAGUCAUUCAUCUUUGUAGGGAGCCUGGUCUGCCCUUUUUUGGGUGGGUCUGUGCGAACUACAUCAUUUACUUUGAAAAAAUUAGAGUGUUUAAAGCAGGCUUACGCUAUGAAUACAUUAGCAUGGAAUAAUACUAUAGGACUUUGGUUCUAUUGUGUUGGUCUAGAACUGAAGUAAUGAUUGAUAGGGAUAGUUGGGGGUGCUAGUAUUCAACGGCCAGAGGUGAAAUUCUUGGAUUCGUUGAAGACUAACUUAUGCGAAAGCAUU